RNAcentral lists this transfer RNA (73 nucleotides) under Acidimicrobiales bacterium. RNAcentral's name for it is "tRNA-Asn". It matches the Rfam family "tRNA". Rfam says of the family: Transfer RNA (tRNA) molecules are approximately 80 nucleotides in length. RNAcentral also lists the same sequence under 2 other names. Lineage: Bacteria; Bacillati; Actinomycetota; Acidimicrobiia; Acidimicrobiales. The record is from RNAcentral.
UCCGGGGUAGCUCAGCUGGCAGAGCAGCGGACUGUUAAUCCGUUUGUCGUGGGUUCGAUCCCCACCCCCGGAG